Tursiops truncatus (common bottlenose dolphin) is the source of this 106-nucleotide small nuclear RNA. Lineage: Eukaryota; Metazoa; Chordata; Mammalia; Artiodactyla; Delphinidae. The record is from Ensembl.
GUACUUGCUUUGGCAGCACAUAUACUAAAUUUGGACCGAUACAGAGAAGAUUAGCAUGGUCCCUGCACAGGAUGACAUGCAAAUUCAUGAAGCGUUCCAUAUUUUG